RNAcentral lists this ribosomal RNA (1429 nucleotides) under uncultured bacterium. RNAcentral's name for it is "bacterial SSU rRNA". It matches the Rfam family "Bacterial small subunit ribosomal RNA". The record is from RNAcentral.
AUGAACGCUGGCGGCGUGCUUAACACAUGCAAGUCGAACGUGAAGAAACCUACUUCGGUAGGUUUUGGAAAGUGGCGAACGGGUGAGUAACACGUAGAUGACCUGCCCUGAAGUGGGGGACAACCAUUGGAAACGAUGGCUAAUACCCUAUGGUCCUAACGGUAUUGGAAGCCGAUAGGUAAAAUUCCGGUGCUUUGGGAGGGGUCUGCGUCCGAUUAGCUUGUUGGUGGGGUAAUGGCCUACCAAGGCAACGAUCGGUAGCUGGUCUGAGAGGAUGAUCAGUCACACGGGAACUGAGACACGGUCCCGACUCCUACGGGGGGCAGCAGUGAGGAAUAUUGCACAAUGGGGGAAACCCUGAUGCAGCAACGCCGCGUGGAGGAUGAAGGCUUUUUGUCGUAAACUCCUUUUCCGAGGGAAGAGAAAGGACGGUACCUCGGGAAUAAGUCACGGCUAACUACGUGCCAGCAGCCGCGGUAAUACGUAGGUGGCGAGCGUUAUCCGGAUUUAUUGGGCGUAAAGCGCACGCAGGCGGCAAAUUAAGUCUGAUGUGAAAUCUCCCGGCUCAACUGGGAGAGGUCGUUGGAAACUGAUUCGCUUGAGGCAAUGAGAGGGGUGUAGAAUUCCUGGUGUAGUGGUGGAAUGCGUAGAUAUCAGGAGGAAUACCAGUGGCGAAAGCGACACCCUGGCAUUGACCUGACGCUCAUGUGCGAAAGCGUGGGGAGCGAACGGGAUUAGACACCCCGGUAGUCCACGCUGUAAACGAUGAACACUAGGUGUAGGUUGGUUCAAAUCUAUCUGUGCCGAAGCAAACGCGAUAAGUGUUCCGCCUGGGGAGUACGGCCGCAAGGCUAAAACUCAAAGGAAUUGACGGGGACCCGCACAAGCAGCGGAGCGUGUGGUUUAAUUCGAUGCAACGCGAAGAACCUUACCUGGGUUUGACAUAUACGUAGUAGUGAACCGAAAGGGGAACGAUCCUUCGGGAAGCGUAUACAGGUGCUGCAUGGCUGUCGUCAGCUCGUGUCGUGAGAUGUUGGGUUAAGUCCCGCAACGAGCGCAACCCCUGUCGUUAGUUACAAGUGUCUAACGAGACUGUCGGUAUCAAGCCGAAGGAAGGUGGGGAUGAUGUCAAGUCAGCAUGGCCUUUAUAUCCAGGGCUACACACACGCUACAAUGGGUAAUACAAUGGGCAGCUAAGGGGCGACCUGGAGCGAAUCCCAUCAAAGUUAUUCGUAGUUCGGAUUGUAGGCUGCAACUCGCCUGCAUGAAGCCGGAGUUGCUAGUAAACGCAGGUCAGCAACACUGCGUUGAAUACGUUCCCGGGUCUUGUACACACCGCCCGUCACGUCAUGGGAGUUGGUAACACCUGAAGUCGGUAACCUAACCGAAAGGAAGGAGCUGCCUAGGGUGGGACUGAUAACUGGGACGA